AAAAUAACCAUGAUUCCCCUAGUAACGGCGAGUGAAGAGGGAAAAGCUCAAAGUUGGAACCUGGCUGUCCUAGAUAGUCCGGAUUGUAAACUAAAGAGCGUGAAUCCAGGCAAGCCGGUUGAUCAAGUCCUUUGGAAUGAGGCGCCACUGAGGGUGAGAGCCCCGUAAAUCGACUGAGCAUUUGUCUUUUGUGUUUCGCGUUCAAAGAGUCAGGUUGUUUGGGAAUGCAGCCUAAAGCUGGUGGUAAAUCCCACCUAAAGCUAAAUACAGGCGAGAGACCGAUAGCGAACAAGUACCGUGAGGGAAAGAUGAAAAGUACUUUGAAAAGAGAGUUAAACAGUAUGUGAAAUUGCCAAGAGGGAAGCAUUUGGAGUUAGACUGACUUGAAGUUAAUCAGCUUGGUCUUUGGACUGGGUGUACUUGACUUCUAUGUCUGCCAAUAGCAGUUAGUCCUGGUGGAAAAAACUGAAGGGAAGGUAGUCCUUCGGGAUGUUUAUAGACCUUUGGAAAAUACACUGGGAUUGACUGAGGAAUGCAGUAGAUGCUAUUAAGGCUUCGUCUAGUAGGUGUUAGGUGAAGGUACUUGGUAUUUUCAGCUUGCUGAUGUGCUAGGUUACUUGAGCUUAAUUGCUUGCUAGAACUGUAAUCUACUUUGGUUAUUGGCUUAAUGACUCUAAAUGGC
Molecule: ribosomal RNA, 682 nt
Filed under: Lichtheimia corymbifera
Lineage: Eukaryota; Fungi; Mucoromycota; Mucoromycetes; Mucorales; Lichtheimiaceae
Description: partial large subunit ribosomal RNA
Rfam family: Eukaryotic large subunit ribosomal RNA
Source: RNAcentral